UACAGAGGGUGCGAGCGUUAAUCGGAAUUACUGGGCGUAAAGCGUGCGUAGGCGGAUAUUUAAGUCGAAUGUGAAAUCCCUGGGCUUAACCUGGGAACUGCAUCCGAUACUGGGUAUCUGGAGUAUGGUAGAGGAAAGUGGAAUUCCCGGUGUAGCGGUGGAAUGCGUAGAUAUCGGGAGGAACAUCAGUGGCGAAGGCGACUUUCUGGAUCAAUACUGACGCUGAGGCACGAAAGCGUGGGGAUCAAACAGGAUUAGAUACCCUGGUAGUCCACGCUGUAAACUAUGAGAACUAGACGUUGGGGGGCUUGUCCCCUUAGUGUCGAAGCUAACGCGAUAAGUUCUCCGCCUGGGGAGUACGGCCGCAAGGUUAAA
Molecule: ribosomal RNA, 375 nt
Filed under: uncultured bacterium
Lineage: Bacteria
Description: bacterial SSU rRNA
Rfam family: Bacterial small subunit ribosomal RNA
Source: RNAcentral